Molecule: unclassified non-coding RNA, 376 nt
Filed under: uncultured bacterium
Lineage: Bacteria
Description: contains 16S-23S intergenic spacer region
Source: RNAcentral
UCCGAGUUGACCCCGGCAGUCUCCGAUGAGUCCCCGCCAUUACGCGCUGGCAACAUCGAAUAAGGGUUGCGCUCGUUGCGGGACUUAACCCAACAUCUCACGACACGAGCUGACGACAACCAUGCACCACCUGUACGCAGCCCUUGCGGACCCGACAUCUCUGCCGGUUUUCUGCGUAUGUCAAGCCCUGGUAAGGUUCUUCGCGUUGCGUCGAAUUAAACCACACGCUCCACCGCUUGUGCGGGCCCCCGUCAAUUCCUUUGAGUUUCAGCCUUGCGGCCGUACUCCCCAGGCGGGGCACUUAAUGCGUUAGCGCCGGCACCCAGGGGGUCGCUCCCCCAGGCACCUAGUGCCCAUCGUUUACGGCGUGGACUAC